Molecule: ribosomal RNA, 159 nt
Filed under: Trogloneta sp. MYSM-022-ARG
Lineage: Eukaryota; Metazoa; Arthropoda; Arachnida; Araneae; Mysmenidae
Description: partial 18S ribosomal RNA
Rfam family: Eukaryotic small subunit ribosomal RNA
Source: RNAcentral
UGUUUCCAUUAAUCAAGAACGAAAGUUAGAUGAUCGAAGGCGAUCAGAUACCGCCCUAGUUCUAACCAUAAACGAUGCCAGCCAGCGAUCCGGCUGUGUUCCUCAAAUGACACGCCGGGCAGCUUCCGGGAAACCAAAGCUUUUGGGUUCCGGGGGAAG